GAUGAAGAACGUAGCGAAAUGCGAUAAGUAAUAUGAAUUGCAGAAUUCAGUGAAUCAUCGAAUCUUUGAACGCACAUUGCGCCCGCCAGUAUUCUGGCGGGCAUGCCUGUUCGAGCGUCAUUACAACCCUCAGGCCCCCGGGCCUGGCGUUGGGGAUCGGCGGAGCCCCCCGUGGGCACACGCCGUCCCCCAAAUGCAGUGGCGGUCCCGCCGCAGCUUCCAUCGCGUAGUAGCUAACACCUCGCGACUGGAGAGCGGCGCGGCCACGCCGUAAAACACCCAACUCUUCUGAAGUUGACCUCGAAUCAGGUAGGAAUACCCGCUGAACUUAAGCAUAUCAAUAAGCGGAGGGA
Molecule: unclassified non-coding RNA, 353 nt
Filed under: soil metagenome
Description: partial contains 5.8S ribosomal RNA, internal transcribed spacer 2, and large subunit ribosomal RNA
Rfam family: 5.8S ribosomal RNA (bases 1-120)
Source: RNAcentral